CACAUGUCAUGUCUUGUCAGCUGGAUAUUACUUUGGGAGUGUGAAAAGCAUGACAAGGAGGGGCAACAUCCAAUCUUCUGCCCACAAUGUCAAGGAACGGGCGACGGUGCUGUCUACGAUUUGAAUGUAUUUGCUAUGGUUGAAAGGCCUACUCAGGAAACCUUGCAUGAGAUGCGCCAAUACAAGCGGAAACUCCAAGAUGCUUAUGAUGCGUGGUGGAGAAUCCUGAAAUUGUGGCUAAACCCUCCAUAGGAUUGCGCUUUCCUGAGCAUGAUUCACCACCACCACAACAGGGACCAGUUUCUCCUCUUUGCUCCAUCAAGAUUUAUAAGGCUAGUGCAUAGGUUUAAUAAACCAUGCAAAUAUAUCUAGGUCCGGUUUAUUCUCCAAAUAGGACACUUUUGGUCCGUUUGUCUUUACUGCUUGUCGUACUCAACAUGCAAUUCUAAAAAAUAGGACCCUUUUGGUCCUUUUGUCUUUAAUGCUUUUCGUACUCAACAUGCAAUUCUCAAAAUAGGACACUUUUGGUCCUUUUGUCUUUAAUGCUUUUCGAACUCAAAAUGCCAUUUGCAAAAUAGGACACUUUUGGUCCUUUUGUCUUUAUGCUUUUCGUACCCAAAUCAAAAUGGCAGGCUGCUUUAGGUUGGGCUA
Molecule: long non-coding RNA, 651 nt
Organism: Lycium barbarum (goji berry)
Lineage: Eukaryota; Viridiplantae; Streptophyta; Magnoliopsida; Solanales; Solanaceae
Exons: 3
Source: RefSeq, a predicted model, not a curated record